UGAGGUCACACUCCAUGGGGAGAUGGUCACAUAAAGCUUCUUAGAAAAUGUCCGAAAUCCAGAGGGGCAGCCAAAUCUUAAAGCUCCAAAAUGAUCUCCUUUGACUCCAUGUCUCACAUCCUGAUCCUGCAGAUGCAAGAGGAGAUCUUAGAGACGAAAAAGGGGAAGCUCCAUUAAAAUUGGUAAAGGAAGAAACAUAAUAUGAAAGGAGGGAAAUAAUGAGGUAAAAGAUGUGGAGACUGCUUUCCAGACAAAGUAAGAAUGAACUUCACUUUGGAAUAACAAAGCAGUGCUUGCUUGGCAAGAUGGAGUCUUGUUCUUUCGCCCAGGCUGGAGGAGUGCAGUGGUGCGAUCUCUGCUCACUGCAACCUCUGCCUCCCGGGUUCAAGCAAUUCUCCUGCUUCAGCCUCCUGAGGAGUGGGAUUACAAGCGCCUGCCAUCAUGCCCAGAUAAUUUUUGUACUUUUAUUAGAGGAAGGGUUUCACCAUGUUAGCCAGGCUGGUCUCAAACUCCUGACCUCAAGUUAUUCGCCCUCCUCGGCCUCCCAAAUUGCUGGGAUUACAGGCAUGAGCCACUGUGCCUGGCCUGACAAAUGUUUUUUUAAGAGUGAGUCAGAGGGAGACUUGACACACAGAAGAGGAGGCAAUGUGACCAGGGAGCAGAGAUUGGAGUGGUGCAGCCCCCAGAAGCUGGGGAAAAGGAAUGCUGGCAUGAGUAAAGGAAUGCUGACAGCCCCCAGAAGCUGGAAGAUCUACAGAAUGGAUUCUCUCUAGGGACCUCAGAGCGAGUGUGGCCCCACUGUAUUUAGGACUUCUAGCCUCUAGAACUGUUUUAGAAUACAUUGCUGUUGUUGAAGUCAUUUAGUUUGUGUCAAUUUGUUGUGAUAGCCUAGGGAACUAAUAUAAUGAAGCAUGGAGAGAGAGAGAGAGAGAGGAUAAAAGGUGAAAAUCAUGUGCCAAAACUAAAGAAAAGAGAUGCUGACAUUUGUGAUUAAAUAGAAUAAUUGCACUAUUUAAGAUUAAUCACUUGAGCCUGGGAGGUGGAGGCUGUAGUGAGUCAUCAUGGUGCCACUGCAUUCCAGCCUGCAUGACAGAGAGAGACUCUGUCUUAGGAAAAAAAAAAAAGAUUAAGGUGGUCCAGAAUGCACCCAAGGAUAAAAUGCAAAGAUGAUCUUGCCCCAUGUAUAUUUUAGCAUACUACUUAGGUACUAUUUAUUUUUUAAUUAUCUCCUUUUUACAUUUUGACAAUUUUACC
Long non-coding RNA from Pan troglodytes (chimpanzee), 1254 nucleotides. RefSeq lists it as uncharacterized. The record is from RefSeq and is a predicted model, not a curated record. NCBI's taxonomy places the organism in Eukaryota, Metazoa, Chordata, Mammalia, Primates, Hominidae. The transcript has 4 exons.